This 352-nucleotide unclassified non-coding RNA is filed under the name soil metagenome. RNAcentral describes it as "partial contains 5.8S ribosomal RNA, internal transcribed spacer 2, and large subunit ribosomal RNA". The stretch from base 1 to 120 matches the Rfam family "5.8S ribosomal RNA", at positions 35 to 154 of the family's 154-position model. The record is from RNAcentral.
GAUGAAGAACGUAGCGAAAUGCGACAAGUAAUGUGAAUUGCAGAAUUCCGUGAAUCAUCGAAUCUUUGAACGCACAUUGCGCCCGCCAGUAUUCUGGCGGGCAUGCCUGUUCGAGCGUCAUUACAACCCUCAGGCCCCCGGGCCUGGCGUUGGGGAUCGGCGGAAGCCCCCUGUGGGCACACGCCGUCCCUCAAAUACAGUGGCGGUCCCGCCGCAGCUUCCAUUGCGUAGUAGCUAACACCUCGCAACUGGAGAGCGGCGCGGCCAUGCCGUAAAACACCCAACUUCUGAAUGUUGACCUCGAAUCAGGUAGGAAUACCCGCUGAACUUAAGCAUAUCAAUAAGCGGAGGA